Camelus ferus (Wild Bactrian camel) is the source of this 73-nucleotide transfer RNA. It matches the Rfam family "tRNA". Rfam says of the family: Transfer RNA (tRNA) molecules are approximately 80 nucleotides in length. Their secondary structure includes four short double-helical elements and three loops (D, anti-codon, and T loops). The record is from Rfam. NCBI's taxonomy places the organism in Eukaryota, Metazoa, Chordata, Mammalia, Artiodactyla, Camelidae.
GAGGGUAGAGCUCAACUGGUAGAGCUCAUGCUUAGCAUACACAAGGUCUUGGGUUCAAUCCCCAGUACCUCCA